Long non-coding RNA from Neodiprion fabricii, 6221 nucleotides. RefSeq lists it as uncharacterized. The record is from RefSeq and is a predicted model, not a curated record. Lineage: Eukaryota; Metazoa; Arthropoda; Insecta; Hymenoptera; Diprionidae. The transcript is spliced from 23 exons.
UCACGUUUUUCAACUAUUAAAUUCUUCUUCUUCCUGACCGGAACUUCGACGAACCUUUCAUUUUCAAUCUACCUCCCGGUCACAAACUUCUUUCCUAAACACAAUGCAUCGAAACGGCUUCGUGGACGUCUCGUACCACCGUCAUCCUACGUCAUACCGAACUUCAAAUCACUCACAAACCAAGAAGAUCUGGAACUACCGGCAAAAACUAGCACGCAUCAAAAACCAUUUUAUUUCCUGAGGAUGGUCGGCAGGGCCCGGCCGAAACGUCGAUUUUGUAUAUUCACGUUUUUCAACUAUUAAAUUCUUCUUCUUCCUGACCGGAACUUCGACGAACCUUUCAUUUUCAAUCUACCUCCCGGUCACAAACUUCUUUCCUAAACACAAUGCAUCGAAACGGCUUCGUGGACGUCUCGUACCACCGUCAUCCUACGUCAUACCGAACUUCAAAUCACUCACAAACCAAGAAGAUCUGGAACUACCGGCAAAAACUAGCACGCAUCAAAAACCAUUUUAUUUCCUGAGGAUGGUCGGCAGGGCCCGGCCGAAACGUCGAUUUUGUAUAUUCACGUUUUUCAACUAUUAAAUUCUUCUUCUUCCUGACCGGAACUUCGACGAACCUUUCAUUUUCAAUCUACCUCCCGGUCACAAACUUCUUUCCUAAACACAAUGCAUCGAAACGGCUUCGUGGACGUCUCGUACCACCGUCAUCCUACGUCAUACCGAACUUCAAAUCACUCACAAACCAAGAAGAUCUGGAACUACCGGCAAAAACUAGCACGCAUCAAAAACCAUUUUAUUUCCUGAGGAUGGUCGGCAGGGCCCGGCCGAAACGUCGAUUUUGUAUAUUCACGUUUUUCAACUAUUAAAUUCUUCUUCUUCCUGACCGGAACUUCGACGAACCUUUCAUUUUCAAUCUACCUCCCGGUCACAAACUUCUUUCCUAAACACAAUGCAUCGAAACGGCUUCGUGGACGUCUCGUACCACCGUCAUCCUACGUCAUACCGAACUUCAAAUCACUCACAAACCAAGAAGAUCUGGAACUACCGGCAAAAACUAGCACGCAUCAAAAACCAUUUUAUUUCCUGAGGAUGGUCGGCAGGGCCCGGCCGAAACGUCGAUUUUGUAUAUUCACGUUUUUCAACUAUUAAAUUCUUCUUCUUCCUGACCGGAACUUCGACGAACCUUUCAUUUUCAAUCUACCUCCCGGUCACAAACUUCUUUCCUAAACACAAUGCAUCGAAACGGCUUCGUGGACGUCUCGUACCACCGUCAUCCUACGUCAUACCGAACUUCAAAUCACUCACAAACCAAGAAGAUCUGGAACUACCGGCAAAAACUAGCACGCAUCAAAAACCAUUUUAUUUCCUGAGGAUGGUCGGCAGGGCCCGGCCGAAACGUCGAUUUUGUAUAUUCACGUUUUUCAACUAUUAAAUUCUUCUUCUUCCUGACCGGAACUUCGACGAACCUUUCAUUUUCAAUCUACCUCCCGGUCACAAACUUCUUUCCUAAACACAAUGCAUCGAAACGGCUUCGUGGACGUCUCGUACCACCGUCAUCCUACGUCAUACCGAACUUCAAAUCACUCACAAACCAAGAAGAUCUGGAACUACCGGCAAAAACUAGCACGCAUCAAAAACCAUUUUAUUUCCUGAGGAUGGUCGGCAGGGCCCGGCCGAAACGUCGAUUUUGUAUAUUCACGUUUUUCAACUAUUAAAUUCUUCUUCUUCCUGACCGGAACUUCGACGAACCUUUCAUUUUCAAUCUACCUCCCGGUCACAAACUUCUUUCCUAAACACAAUGCAUCGAAACGGCUUCGUGGACGUCUCGUACCACCGUCAUCCUACGUCAUACCGAACUUCAAAUCACUCACAAACCAAGAAGAUCUGGAACUACCGGCAAAAACUAGCACGCAUCAAAAACCAUUUUAUUUCCUGAGGAUGGUCGGCAGGGCCCGGCCGAAACGUCGAUUUUGUAUAUUCACGUUUUUCAACUAUUAAAUUCUUCUUCUUCCUGACCGGAACUUCGACGAACCUUUCAUUUUCAAUCUACCUCCCGGUCACAAACUUCUUUCCUAAACACAAUGCAUCGAAACGGCUUCGUGGACGUCUCGUACCACCGUCAUCCUACGUCAUACCGAACUUCAAAUCACUCACAAACCAAGAAGAUCUGGAACUACCGGCAAAAACUAGCACGCAUCAAAAACCAUUUUAUUUCCUGAGGAUGGUCGGCAGGGCCCGGCCGAAACGUCGAUUUUGUAUAUUCACGUUUUUCAACUAUUAAAUUCUUCUUCUUCCUGACCGGAACUUCGACGAACCUUUCAUUUUCAAUCUACCUCCCGGUCACAAACUUCUUUCCUAAACACAAUGCAUCGAAACGGCUUCGUGGACGUCUCGUACCACCGUCAUCCUACGUCAUACCGAACUUCAAAUCACUCACAAACCAAGAAGAUCUGGAACUACCGGCAAAAACUAGCACGCAUCAAAAACCAUUUUAUUUCCUGAGGAUGGUCGGCAGGGCCCGGCCGAAACGUCGAUUUUGUAUAUUCACGUUUUUCAACUAUUAAAUUCUUCUUCUUCCUGACCGGAACUUCGACGAACCUUUCAUUUUCAAUCUACCUCCCGGUCACAAACUUCUUUCCUAAACACAAUGCAUCGAAACGGCUUCGUGGACGUCUCGUACCACCGUCAUCCUACGUCAUACCGAACUUCAAAUCACUCACAAACCAAGAAGAUCUGGAACUACCGGCAAAAACUAGCACGCAUCAAAAACCAUUUUAUUUCCUGAGGAUGGUCGGCAGGGCCCGGCCGAAACGUCGAUUUUGUAUAUUCACGUUUUUCAACUAUUAAAUUCUUCUUCUUCCUGACCGGAACUUCGACGAACCUUUCAUUUUCAAUCUACCUCCCGGUCACAAACUUCUUUCCUAAACACAAUGCAUCGAAACGGCUUCGUGGACGUCUCGUACCACCGUCAUCCUACGUCAUACCGAACUUCAAAUCACUCACAAACCAAGAAGAUCUGGAACUACCGGCAAAAACUAGCACGCAUCAAAAACCAUUUUAUUUCCUGAGGAUGGUCGGCAGGGCCCGGCCGAAACGUCGAUUUUGUAUAUUCACGUUUUUCAACUAUUAAAUUCUUCUUCUUCCUGACCGGAACUUCGACGAACCUUUCAUUUUCAAUCUACCUCCCGGUCACAAACUUCUUUCCUAAACACAAUGCAUCGAAACGGCUUCGUGGACGUCUCGUACCACCGUCAUCCUACGUCAUACCGAACUUCAAAUCACUCACAAACCAAGAAGAUCUGGAACUACCGGCAAAAACUAGCACGCAUCAAAAACCAUUUUAUUUCCUGAGGAUGGUCGGCAGGGCCCGGCCGAAACGUCGAUUUUGUAUAUUCACGUUUUUCAACUAUUAAAUUCUUCUUCUUCCUGACCGGAACUUCGACGAACCUUUCAUUUUCAAUCUACCUCCCGGUCACAAACUUCUUUCCUAAACACAAUGCAUCGAAACGGCUUCGUGGACGUCUCGUACCACCGUCAUCCUACGUCAUACCGAACUUCAAAUCACUCACAAACCAAGAAGAUCUGGAACUACCGGCAAAAACUAGCACGCAUCAAAAACCAUUUUAUUUCCUGAGGAUGGUCGGCAGGGCCCGGCCGAAACGUCGAUUUUGUAUAUUCACGUUUUUCAACUAUUAAAUUCUUCUUCUUCCUGACCGGAACUUCGACGAACCUUUCAUUUUCAAUCUACCUCCCGGUCACAAACUUCUUUCCUAAACACAAUGCAUCGAAACGGCUUCGUGGACGUCUCGUACCACCGUCAUCCUACGUCAUACCGAACUUCAAAUCACUCACAAACCAAGAAGAUCUGGAACUACCGGCAAAAACUAGCACGCAUCAAAAACCAUUUUAUUUCCUGAGGAUGGUCGGCAGGGCCCGGCCGAAACGUCGAUUUUGUAUAUUCACGUUUUUCAACUAUUAAAUUCUUCUUCUUCCUGACCGGAACUUCGACGAACCUUUCAUUUUCAAUCUACCUCCCGGUCACAAACUUCUUUCCUAAACACAAUGCAUCGAAACGGCUUCGUGGACGUCUCGUACCACCGUCAUCCUACGUCAUACCGAACUUCAAAUCACUCACAAACCAAGAAGAUCUGGAACUACCGGCAAAAACUAGCACGCAUCAAAAACCAUUUUAUUUCCUGAGGAUGGUCGGCAGGGCCCGGCCGAAACGUCGAUUUUGUAUAUUCACGUUUUUCAACUAUUAAAUUCUUCUUCUUCCUGACCGGAACUUCGACGAACCUUUCAUUUUCAAUCUACCUCCCGGUCACAAACUUCUUUCCUAAACACAAUGCAUCGAAACGGCUUCGUGGACGUCUCGUACCACCGUCAUCCUACGUCAUACCGAACUUCAAAUCACUCACAAACCAAGAAGAUCUGGAACUACCGGCAAAAACUAGCACGCAUCAAAAACCAUUUUAUUUCCUGAGGAUGGUCGGCAGGGCCCGGCCGAAACGUCGAUUUUGUAUAUUCACGUUUUUCAACUAUUAAAUUCUUCUUCUUCCUGACCGGAACUUCGACGAACCUUUCAUUUUCAAUCUACCUCCCGGUCACAAACUUCUUUCCUAAACACAAUGCAUCGAAACGGCUUCGUGGACGUCUCGUACCACCGUCAUCCUACGUCAUACCGAACUUCAAAUCACUCACAAACCAAGAAGAUCUGGAACUACCGGCAAAAACUAGCACGCAUCAAAAACCAUUUUAUUUCCUGAGGAUGGUCGGCAGGGCCCGGCCGAAACGUCGAUUUUGUAUAUUCACGUUUUUCAACUAUUAAAUUCUUCUUCUUCCUGACCGGAACUUCGACGAACCUUUCAUUUUCAAUCUACCUCCCGGUCACAAACUUCUUUCCUAAACACAAUGCAUCGAAACGGCUUCGUGGACGUCUCGUACCACCGUCAUCCUACGUCAUACCGAACUUCAAAUCACUCACAAACCAAGAAGAUCUGGAACUACCGGCAAAAACUAGCACGCAUCAAAAACCAUUUUAUUUCCUGAGGAUGGUCGGCAGGGCCCGGCCGAAACGUCGAUUUUGUAUAUUCACGUUUUUCAACUAUUAAAUUCUUCUUCUUCCUGACCGGAACUUCGACGAACCUUUCAUUUUCAAUCUACCUCCCGGUCACAAACUUCUUUCCUAAACACAAUGCAUCGAAACGGCUUCGUGGACGUCUCGUACCACCGUCAUCCUACGUCAUACCGAACUUCAAAUCACUCACAAACCAAGAAGAUCUGGAACUACCGGCAAAAACUAGCACGCAUCAAAAACCAUUUUAUUUCCUGAGGAUGGUCGGCAGGGCCCGGCCGAAACGUCGAUUUUGUAUAUUCACGUUUUUCAACUAUUAAAUUCUUCUUCUUCCUGACCGGAACUUCGACGAACCUUUCAUUUUCAAUCUACCUCCCGGUCACAAACUUCUUUCCUAAACACAAUGCAUCGAAACGGCUUCGUGGACGUCUCGUACCACCGUCAUCCUACGUCAUACCGAACUUCAAAUCACUCACAAACCAAGAAGAUCUGGAACUACCGGCAAAAACUAGCACGCAUCAAAAACCAUUUUAUUUCCUGAGGAUGGUCGGCAGGGCCCGGCCGAAACGUCGAUUUUGUAUAUUCACGUUUUUCAACUAUUAAAUUCUUCUUCUUCCUGACCGGAACUUCGACGAACCUUUCAUUUUCAAUCUACCUCCCGGUCACAAACUUCUUUCCUAAACACAAUGCAUCGAAACGGCUUCGUGGACGUCUCGUACCACCGUCAUCCUACGUCAUACCGAACUUCAAAUCACUCACAAACCAAGAAGAUCUGGAACUACCGGCAAAAACUAGCACGCAUCAAAAACCAUUUUAUUUCCUGAGGAUGGUCGGCAGGGCCCGGCCGAAACGUCGAUUUUGUAUAUUCACGUUUUUCAACUAUUAAAUUCUUCUUCUUCCUGACCGGAACUUCGACGAACCUUUCAUUUUCAAUCUACCUCCCGGUCACAAACUUCUUUCCUAAACACAAUGCAUCGAAACGGCUUCGUGGACGUCUCGUACCACCGUCAUCCUACGUCAUACCGAACUUCAAAUCACUCACAAACCAAGAAGAUCUGGAACUACCGGCAAAAACUAGCACGCAUCAAAAACCAUUUUAUUUCCUGAGGAUGGUCGGCAGGGCCCGGCCGAAACGUCGAUUUUG